Apaloderma vittatum (bar-tailed trogon) is the source of this 73-nucleotide non-coding RNA. Lineage: Eukaryota; Metazoa; Chordata; Aves; Trogoniformes; Trogonidae. The record is from Rfam.
GGCCGGUUAGCUCAAUCGGUUGAGCGUGGCACUAACAAUGUCAAGGUUGUGGGUUCGAUUCCCGUUUGGUCCC